CCAAUAGCGUAUAUUAAAGUUGUUGCAGUUAAAAAGCUCGUAGUUGAAUUUUAGGCCUGGCCGGGCGGUCCGUCUUUGGCGAGUACUGUCCUGUGUCGGGUCUUCCUUCUGGUCAACCUGCAUGUCCUUUAUUGGGUGUGCUGGGGAGCCAGGACCAUUACCUUGAAAAAAUUAGAGUGUUUAAAGCGGGCUUUUGCUUGAAUAGAUUAGCAUGGAAUAAUAGAAUAGGACGUUGUGGUUCUAUUUUGUUGGUUUCUAGGACCACCGUAAUGAUUAAUAGGGAUAGUUGGGGGCAUUAGUAUUCAAUUGUCAGAGGUGAAAUUCUUGGAUUUAUUGAAGACUAACUACUGCGAAAGCAUUUGCCAAGGAUGUUUUCAUUAAUCAAGAACGAAAGUUAGGGGAUCGAAGACGAUCAGAUACCGUCGUAGUCUUAACCAUAAACUAUGCCGACUAGGAAUCGGGCGACGUUAUUUUCAUGACUCGCUCGGCGCCUUAUG
This 497-nucleotide ribosomal RNA is filed under the name uncultured Glomeromycotina. RNAcentral's name for it is "partial small subunit ribosomal RNA". It matches the Rfam family "Eukaryotic small subunit ribosomal RNA", at positions 591 to 1092 of the family's 1831-position model. Lineage: Eukaryota; Fungi; Glomeromycota. The record is from RNAcentral.